RNAcentral lists this ribosomal RNA (255 nucleotides) under uncultured bacterium. RNAcentral's name for it is "partial 16S ribosomal RNA". It matches the Rfam family "Bacterial small subunit ribosomal RNA", at positions 1246 to 1500 of the family's 1533-position model. The record is from RNAcentral.
GAAGCGAAACAAGUGAUGUGGAGCAAACUCAAAAAAAUAAGUCUCAGUUCGGAUUGAAGGCUGAAAUUCGCCUUCAUGAAGCCGGAAUUGCUAGUAAUGGCAGGUCAGCAUACUGCCGUGAAUACGUUCCCGGGCCUUGUACACACCGCCCGUCACACCAUGAGAGUUGGGAAUACCCGAAGCCUGUGAGCUAACUUUUAGAGGCAGCAGUCGAAGGUAGAAUCAAUGAUUGGGGUGAAGUCGUAACAAGGUAAC